This 23-nucleotide small RNA is filed under the name Arabidopsis thaliana (thale cress). Its description in RNAcentral is "ATSL080860". Lineage: Eukaryota; Viridiplantae; Streptophyta; Magnoliopsida; Brassicales; Brassicaceae. The record is from RNAcentral.
AAGUAUUUUUGGUCAGGUAUUAC